CCCUUAGAUGUCCUGGGCCGCACGCGCGAUACACUGAGUGUCUGAGAUACGAGUCUGCCUGGUCCGGCAAGGUCUAGGUAAUCGCUAAAAGACACAUCAUGCUUGGGAUAGAUUAUUGCAAAUAUUAAUCUUGAACGAGGAAUUCCUAGUAAGCGCAAGUCAACAGCUUGCGUUGAUUACGUCCCUGCCCUUUGUACACACCGCCCGUCGCUACUACUGAUUGGAUGUUUAAGCGAGGUUCUCGAACUGCUAGCGACUUAGCUUCGGUGAGGUCGCAGUGUGGGAAGUGAACCUAGCUUUGGUGUCUAGAGGAAGUAAAAGUCGUAACA
This 329-nucleotide ribosomal RNA is filed under the name uncultured eukaryote. Its description in RNAcentral is "partial 18S ribosomal RNA". It matches the Rfam family "Eukaryotic small subunit ribosomal RNA", at positions 1470 to 1796 of the family's 1831-position model. The record is from RNAcentral.